AGGCACGAAAGCUAGGGGAGCAAACAGGAUUAGAUACCCUGGUAGUCCUAGCCCUAAACGGUGCACGUUUGCUGUGAGAGGAAUCGACCCCUUUCGUGGCGAAGCUAACGCGUUAAACGUGCCGCCUGGGAAGUACGGCCGCAAGGUUAAAACUCAAAGAAAUUGACGGGGGCCUGCACAAGCGGUGGAGUAUGUGGCUUAAUUCGAUGCAACGCGAAGAACCUUACCUGGCCUUGACAUGUAGGUGGUAGAAGCCUGAAAGGGCGACGACCCCGCAAGGGGAGCCUGCACAGGUGCUGCAUGGCUGUCGUCAGCUCGUGUCGUGGGAUGUUGGGUUAAGUCCCGCAACGAGCGCAACCCCUGCGUCCUGUUGCCACCCGGCCGAGAGGCUGGAGCACUCUGGACGGACUGCCUCGCUUAAACGGGGAGGAAGGUGGGGAUGACGUCAAGUCAGUAUGGCCCUUACGGCCAGGGCUGCACACGUACUACAAUGCCCGGUACAGAGGGAUGCAAGACCGUCAGGUGGAGCAAAUCCCAAAAAACCGGGCCCAGUUCAGAUUGUCGUCUGCAACUCGACGGCAUGAAGCUGGAAUCGCUAGUAAUGGCGCAUCAGCUACGGCGCCGUGAAUACGUUCCCAGGCCUUGUACACACCGCCCGUCACAUCAUGAAAGCCGGUUGUACCCGAAGUCGCCCCUUAAAGGUGCCGAAGGUAUGGUUGGUGAUUGGGAUGAAGUCGUAACAAGGUAACC
RNAcentral lists this ribosomal RNA (750 nucleotides) under uncultured bacterium. RNAcentral describes it as "bacterial SSU rRNA". It matches the Rfam family "Bacterial small subunit ribosomal RNA", at positions 749 to 1501 of the family's 1533-position model. The record is from RNAcentral.